This 478-nucleotide ribosomal RNA is filed under the name uncultured bacterium. Its description in RNAcentral is "partial 16S ribosomal RNA". It matches the Rfam family "Bacterial small subunit ribosomal RNA", at positions 28 to 507 of the family's 1533-position model. The record is from RNAcentral.
GACGAACGCUGGCGGCGUGCUUAACACAUGCAAGUCGAACGGGAUUUAGUAGACAGAAGCCUCGGCUAAAGAUUACUAAUGAGAGUGGCGAACGGGUGAGUAACGCGUGAGCAACCUGCCUAUGACAGUGGGAUAGCCCCGGGAAACCGGGAUUAAUACCGCAUAAAAUCGUAGAAACACAUGUUUCAACGGUCAAAGAUUUAUCGGUCAUAGAUGGGCUCGCGUCUGAUUAGCUAGUUGGUGAGAUAACAGCCCACCAAGGCGACGAUCAGUAGCCGGUCUGAGAGGAUGAACGGCCACAGUGGAACUGAGACACGGUCCAAACUCCUACGGGAGGCAGCAGUGGGGAAUAUUGCACAAUGGGGGAAACCCUGAUGCAGCGACGCCGCGUGAACGAAGAAGGUAUUCGUAUCGUAAAGUUCUGUCCUAUGGGAAGAUAAUGACAGUACCAUAGAAGAAAGCUCCGGCUAAAUACGUG